GCGAACGCUGGCGGCAGGCCUAACACAUGCAAGUCGCACGAACUCUUCGGAGUUAGUGGCGGACGGGUGAGUAACACGUGGGAACGUGCCUUUAGGUUCGGAAUAACUCAGGGAAACUUGUGCUAAUACCGAAUGUGCCCUUCGGGGGAAAGAUUUAUCGCCUUUAGAGCGGCCCGCGUCUGAUUAGCUAGUUGGUGAGGUAAAGGCUCACCAAGGCGACGAUCAGUAGCUGGUCUGAGAGGAUGAUCAGCCACAUUGGGACUGAGACACGGCCCAAACUCCUACGGGAGGCAGCAGUGGGGAAUCUUGCGCAAUGGGCGAAAGCCUGACGCAGCCAUGCCGCGUGAAUGAUGAAGGUCUUAGGAUUGUAAAAUUCUUUCACCGGGGACGAUAAUGACGGUACCCGGAGAAGAAGCCCCGGCUAACUUCGUG
Molecule: ribosomal RNA, 432 nt
Filed under: uncultured bacterium
Lineage: Bacteria
Description: partial 16S ribosomal RNA
Rfam family: Bacterial small subunit ribosomal RNA
Source: RNAcentral